UAAGCGGAGGAAAAGAAACCAACAGGGAUUGCCCUAGUAACGGCGAGUGAAGCGGCAACAGCUCAAAUUUGAAAUCUGGCGCAAGCCCGAGUUGUAAUUUGUAGAGGAUGCUUCUGGGCAGCGGCCGGUCUAAGUUCCUUGGAACAGGACGUCACAGAGGGUGAGAAUCCCGUAUGUGAUCGGUUGGCACCCGCUACGUAGCUCCUUCGACGAGUCGAGUUGUUUGGGAAUGCAGCUCUAAAUGGGAGGUAAAUGCCUUCUAAAGCUAAAUACCGGCCAGAGACCGAUAGCGCACAAGUAGAGUGAUCGAAAGAUGAAAAGCACUUUGGAAAGAGAGUUAAAAAGCACGUGAAAUUGUUGAAAGGGAAGCGCAUGCAACCAGACUUGUCCGCGGUGUUCCGCCGGUCUUCUGACCGGUCUACUCGCCGCGGGCAGGCCAGCAUCAUCUGGGAGCGCCGGAUAAAGGUAGCGGGAAUGUGGCCCCUCGGGGUGUUAUAGCUCGCUACACAAUACGGCGCCUCCCGGGUGAGGUCCGCGCUUCGGCUAGGAUGCUGGCGUAAUGGUUGUAUGCGGCCCGUCUUGAAACACGGACCAAGGAGUCUACCAUCUAUGCGAGUGUUCGGGUGUCAAACCCCUACGCGCAAUGAAAGUGAACGGAGGUGGGAACCGCAAGGUGCACCAUCGACCGAUCCUGAUGUCUUCGGAUGGAUUUGAGUAAGAGCAUAGCUGGUGGGACCCGAAAGAUGGUGAACUAUGCCUGAAUAGGGUGAAGCCAGAGGAAACUCUGGUGGAGGCUCGCAGCGGUUCUGACGUGCAAAUCGAUCGUCAAAUUUGGGUAUAGGGGCGAAAGACUAAUCGAACCAU
RNAcentral lists this ribosomal RNA (864 nucleotides) under Aulographina pinorum. RNAcentral describes it as "eukaryotic LSU rRNA". It matches the Rfam family "Eukaryotic large subunit ribosomal RNA", at positions 47 to 943 of the family's 3401-position model. Lineage: Eukaryota; Fungi; Ascomycota; Dothideomycetes; Asterinales; Asterinaceae. The record is from RNAcentral.